This 199-nucleotide long non-coding RNA is filed under the name Vigna radiata. Its description in RNAcentral is "long non-coding RNA (VRAD_LNC004507)". The record is from RNAcentral. Lineage: Eukaryota; Viridiplantae; Streptophyta; Magnoliopsida; Fabales; Fabaceae.
UUUCUGCACUUUCCUCCUCCCAAAUAACUGCCUUAAUGUCUUCAACAUUCCUUGCUUUCUUGAAUUUUGCACAAAGAUCAAGUUCACAAUUAGUAGCAUCUGUCAAGACUUUGGAAUUUGAUUGUAUCACAAAAUUUAUUUCAGUGCAAAUGGAGCAAGAACUAGAUUCACAAUCACAUUUGAAAUUCUCAGAAAACUG